Long non-coding RNA from Pleuronectes platessa (European plaice), 740 nucleotides. RefSeq lists it as uncharacterized. The record is from RefSeq and is a predicted model, not a curated record. The transcript has 2 exons. NCBI's taxonomy places the organism in Eukaryota, Metazoa, Chordata, Actinopteri, Pleuronectiformes, Pleuronectidae.
AUUUCAAAAUGGAGGGUGCACUCUAACCUUUAGAUGGACAGCUCAUUCGACCCAAUUGGAGAAGGCAGGGGUUGUCCACAUUCGGCAAAAGCCAACGAGAGCCCUCGUUUACAGACAGUGCGCGCCCUUCUUCUGACGUGGCGAGGCUCAGCCAACUGCAGUCGAUUUUUGUUAUGACUGACUUAUCGUUUAGCCAAUUACAUUUUCCAGGAAGUACAUGUCCUCCGCGACCUGAUAGAAAACUAUCAACACACAGCAAGUCACUGCACAACAGUGAACACGUGCUUCCAGAGCAUCUCAUCUCCGUGCGUAACAGUAAGUGAGCACUGGUUUUGAGAUCGGUGCGUAAAAGUUCGGGGGCGUUGCUGUGAGAUCCGUGUGCAGAAUUCAGUCUUGCUAUGGAGCGUUUUGAAGCUACACUAUGGAGAAACGUUUAGAGAAAUGAAACUUGACGACCGAACAAGUAAAGGGAUCUGUGUUAUCGGCGUGACAGCGACCAGUCUGAUGAUGACGUAUCAGAGGAAGACAGCGACACGUCGUUUGACUACGAGGCAGACGCCAUGUUUCAGGAAGGACGAGACAUUACUCUUGACAAGUCCAUCGAGGUUCAUGGGUGCUGACAUCCUGAUAGGGCACUACAAAGUCCUCCACAAGCCUCCUCCUGCAGUCGUGACUGCUACAAUGGCUGGCAUGUAUCCAAAAAUUUGAAAGAUGUAUAUUUGAAUAAAUUUUUAACCAUA